Molecule: ribosomal RNA, 668 nt
Filed under: uncultured Parabacteroides sp.
Lineage: Bacteria; Pseudomonadati; Bacteroidota; Bacteroidia; Bacteroidales; Tannerellaceae
Description: bacterial SSU rRNA
Rfam family: Bacterial small subunit ribosomal RNA
Source: RNAcentral
AACCCGGCGAAAGUCGGACUAAUACCGCAUAAAACAGGGGCACCGCAUGGUGAUAUUUGUUAAAGAAAUUCGCUGAUAGAUGGGCAUGCGUUCCAUUAGGUAGUUGGUGAGGUAACGGCUCACCAAGCCGACGAUGGAUAGGGGAACUGAGAGGUUGGUCCCCCACACUGGUACUGAGACACGGACCAGACUCCUACGGGAGGCAGCAGUGAGGAAUAUUGGUCAAUGGGCGAGAGCCUAAACCAGCCAAGUCGCGUGAAGGAAGAAGGAUCUAUGGUUCGUAAACUUCUUUUGCAGGGGAAUAAAGUGCGGGACGUGUCCUGUUUUGUAUGUACCCUGAGAAUAAGGAUCGGCUAACUCCGUGCCAGCAGCCGCGGUAAUACGGAGGAUCCGAGCGUUAUCCGGAUUUAUUGGGUUUAAAGGGUGCGUAGGUGGUUUGAUAAGUCAGCGGUGAAAGUUUGCAGCUUAACUGUAAAAAUGCCGUUGAAACUGUCGGACUUGAGUGUAAAUGAGGUAGGCGGAAUGCGUGGUGUAGCGGUGAAAUGCAUAGAUAUCACGCAGAACUCCGAUUGCGAAGGCAGCUUACUAAGCUACAACUGACACUGAAGCACGAAAGCGUGGGGAUCAAACAGGAUUAGAUACCCUGGUAGUCCACGCAGUAAACGAUG